ACAAAGAACUGUUGAAGAUAACCUUCUCCUACUUCCUGAAGAUCUUCCCCUUUAAACUGAGAUUGAUGUGGUCUUCCAUAUAGAAUUUCAAAUGGGCUGGCUCCUUCCUUUGACUGAGGUUUCGUUCUGAUUCUUAAUAAGGCCAAUGGUAAUGCCUGAUACCAGUACAAAUUUGUCUCUUGACAAAUCUUACCAAUUUGUUGUUUGAUUAGAUGAUUCAUCUUUUCUACUUGUCCACUGGCCUGAGGCCUAUAUGGAACAUGCAAUUCCCAAUCAAUUUCUAAUUUCCUGCUGAUUUCUUGUAACAAUUUUGCACUGAAAUGUGAGCCUCAGUCAGAGGAGAUAGUUGCUGGUACCCCAAAACGAGGUAUUAUUUCAUUUAAUAGUGUUUUAAUUACUUGUCUCGCAUUAUUCACUCUGCAAGGGAAUGCUUCUGGCCAGCCUGAAAAAGU
This is a long non-coding RNA of Strigops habroptila (Kakapo), 452 nucleotides long. RefSeq lists it as uncharacterized. The record is from RefSeq and is a predicted model, not a curated record. The transcript has 3 exons. NCBI's taxonomy places the organism in Eukaryota, Metazoa, Chordata, Aves, Psittaciformes, Psittacidae.